RNAcentral lists this ribosomal RNA (253 nucleotides) under uncultured bacterium. RNAcentral's name for it is "partial 16S ribosomal RNA". It matches the Rfam family "Bacterial small subunit ribosomal RNA", at positions 524 to 776 of the family's 1533-position model. The record is from RNAcentral. RNAcentral also lists the same sequence under 1 other name.
UACAGAGGUCCCAAGCGUUGUUCGGAUUCACUGGGCGUAAAGGGUGCGCAGGUGGCUGGGUAAGUUUGAUGUGAAAGCCCCGGGCUUAACCCGGGAACGGCAUUGAAUACUAUUCGGCUGGAGGAUUGGAGGGGGGACUGGAAUUCUUGGUGUAGCAGUGAAAUGCGUAGAUAUCAAGAGGAACACCAGUGGCGAAGGCGAGUCCCUGGACAAUUCCUGACACUGAGGCACGAAAGCCAAGGGAGCAAACAGG